GACGAACGCUGGCGGCGUGCCUAAUACAUGCAAGUCGAGCGGACUUUCAAGAAGCUUGCUUUUUGAAAGUUAGCGGCGGACGGGUGAGUAACACGUGGGCAACCUGCCUGCAAGACGGGGAUAACUCCGGGAAACCGGGGCUAAUACCGGAUAAUAUCUUCCUUCGCAUGAAGGAAGGUUGAAAGGCGGCGCAAGCUGCCGCUUGCAGAUGGGCCCGCGGCGCAUUAGCUAGUUGGUGAGGUAACGGCUCACCAAGGCGACGAUGCGUAGCCGACCUGAGAGGGUGAUCGGCCACACUGGGACUGAGACACGGCCCAGACUCCUACGGGAGGCAGCAGUAGGGAAUCUUCCGCAAUGGACGAAAGUCUGACGGAGCAACGCCGCGUGAGCGAAGAAGGUCUUCGGAUCGUAAAGCUCUGUUGUCGGGGAAGAACAAGUACCGUUCGAACAGGGCGGUACCUUGACGGUACCUGACCAGAAAGCCACGGCUAACUACGUG
This 499-nucleotide ribosomal RNA is filed under the name uncultured bacterium. Its description in RNAcentral is "partial 16S ribosomal RNA". It matches the Rfam family "Bacterial small subunit ribosomal RNA", at positions 28 to 507 of the family's 1533-position model. The record is from RNAcentral.